RNAcentral lists this ribosomal RNA (301 nucleotides) under uncultured bacterium. Its description in RNAcentral is "partial 16S ribosomal RNA". It matches the Rfam family "Bacterial small subunit ribosomal RNA", at positions 509 to 807 of the family's 1533-position model. The record is from RNAcentral.
CAGUAGCCACGGGAAUACGGAGGGGGCUAGCGUUGUUCGGAAUUACUGGGCGUAAAGCGCACGUAGGCGGUUAUUCAAGUCAGAGGUGAAAGCCCGGGGCUCAACCCCGGAACUGCCUUUGAAACUAGAUGACUAGAAUCUUGGAGAGGUCAGUGGAAUUCCGAGUGUAGAGGUGAAAUUCGUAGAUAUUCGGAAGAACACCAGUGGCGAAGGCGACUGACUGGACAAGUAUUGACGCUGAGGUGCGAAAGCGUGGGGAGCAAACAGGAUUAGAUACCCCAGUAGUCCCUGUCUCUUAUAC